RNAcentral lists this ribosomal RNA (497 nucleotides) under uncultured bacterium. RNAcentral's name for it is "partial 16S ribosomal RNA". It matches the Rfam family "Bacterial small subunit ribosomal RNA", at positions 28 to 507 of the family's 1533-position model. The record is from RNAcentral.
GAUGAACGCUGGCGGCGUGCCUAAUACAUGCAAGUCGAGCGAACAGACGAGGAGCUUGCUCCUCUGACGUUAGCGGCGGACGGGUGAGUAACACGUGGAUAACCUUCCUAUAAGACUGGGAUAACUUCGGGAAACCGGAGCUAAUACCGGAUAAUAUAUUGAACCGCAUGGUUCAAUAGUGAAAGACGGUUUUGCUGUCACUUAUAGAUGGAUCCGCGCCGCAUUAGCUAGUUGGUAAGGUAACGGCUUACCAAGGCAACGAUGCGUAGCCGACCUGAGAGGGUGAUCGGCCACACUGGAACUGAGACACGGUCCAGACUCCUACGGGAGGCAGCAGUAGGGAAUCUUCCGCAAUGGGCGAAAGCCUGACGGAGCAACGCCGCGUGAGUGAUGAAGGUCUUCGGAUCGUAAAACUCUGUUAUUAGGGAAGAACGAAUGUGUAAGUAACUAUGCACGUCUUGACGGUACCUAAUCAGAAAGCCACGGCUAACUACGUG